This 327-nucleotide ribosomal RNA is filed under the name uncultured Candidatus Saccharibacteria bacterium. RNAcentral describes it as "bacterial SSU rRNA". It matches the Rfam family "Bacterial small subunit ribosomal RNA", at positions 28 to 351 of the family's 1533-position model. The record is from RNAcentral. Lineage: Bacteria; Candidatus Saccharimonadota.
GAUGAACGCUGGCGGCGUGCCUAAUACAUGCAAGUCGAGCGCCUUCACUGUGUGCUUCUCGGUAACGAGGAACAUAUUGUGAAGGAGCGGCGGACGGCUGAGUAACGCGUGGGAACAUGCCCCAAAGUGAGGGAUAAGCACCGGAAACGGUGUCUAAUACCGCAUAUGGUCUUCGGAUUAAAGGAUUUAUCCGCUUUGGGAGUGGCCUGCGUAAGAUUAGAUAGUUGGUGAGGUAAAGGCUCACCAAGUCAACGAUCUUUAGUUGGUCUGAGAGGAUGACCAGCCAGACUGGAACUGAGACACGGUCCAGACUCCUACGGGUGGCUG